Molecule: non-coding RNA, 1626 nt
Organism: Oryzias latipes (Japanese medaka)
Lineage: Eukaryota; Metazoa; Chordata; Actinopteri; Beloniformes; Adrianichthyidae
Source: RefSeq, a predicted model, not a curated record
UUAUUGCUCUGAAAUUAAUUCCUCAGAUUAUCACAGCAUUCUUCUGAUCCCUUUAGAAACCCCAAGAGCUUGUUUCAAAGACAAUUCUUUUUCCGAUUUACAGCUCUGGACAGCUUCACUAAUUUGUGCUCCAGCCCUGAUCUGGACAAUCCAAGCAUGUAAUAUGCAUGUCAUCCUAAGCACCAACUGCUGAAGUGCCUUUGAGCUGACCACUGACCCCCUAGGCUGCCAUAGUGCAAUUACUCAACUGCCAACAAACCAAGGUUACAGUUGCACAGCGAAGCUUUGGGUGUGAGUGCACAGUGAGUGUAAACCUUCCCCCGCAUGUAACUUUUCCCCAAGGGUGUUGCACCAACAAUACUUGAGCACAACACUUCCAAGACCGCUGGAGGGCCAAAGGCAUGAGUUGUAAUUCUGUUGGAAAAGACUGUUUAUGAAACUCUGGGUUUUUUUUUUUUGUUUUUGUUUUUUGCAGUUGCAAAAUACUUUGAAAGGAAUUCAACUCCAUGCUUUCUCUCAGUAGACUUGUUCUCACCUCGGGUCACACUGCUAUCGUUUUGGCAGCUGACAGGUUUCAAGGAGCGGCGGCUUAUAUCCAAGCAUGAAGUGUGGUUCAUAGGAAGAAAAAGAAACUGCCAACUAAUUCUUCAGAGAGAACGUCUUGUCAUCUCCUAUGUGACAGCAAAAGUCACUGCAGACCAAUCAUGGAGUCAUCUCACACUUCAUGUCACUACACUUCACAUUCAUCAAGUAUGUAGAGAUGGCUACUUGGAUUUUCACAAUAAAGUAACUGCAAGCCUUAGAUAAUGGAAUAAACUGUCAUCAAAGCAGAUACAGAAGAAGCAAAUAAGGUCAACAAUUACUCUCUUUUUAGAUAUAGGUGACAACAAAAUACAAAAUCAACCUGGUUGGCAUAAAAAAUCAAUUAUUGACAUACUCAACACCUUGGAGAAGAAGUUGAUGAUCUGAUCAUCAGGAGAUGCACCUCUGUUUGUCAGGUUGUAGGAGCAUAUUUUCAUUACAUCAGAAAAGGGAUGUAAAAUAAUUUCCAAACAAUUCAAGUUGAUUAUUUUUGUUUGAAAGACUAACAGCACAUGGGAAGCAGACCGCUGACAAUCUUUCCAGUUUUACAUCAUUCCAGAGUCAGACUGUAUGAUGCUGAGAGAACAAGACAAAGCCCAAGAGGGAUUUUAGCAAAUCACCACCUAAAAAGAAUCAGGCAUGGCAGAAAAAGUGUAAUAAUUUGGGAUUCUCCUAAAGUACCAAGUUUGAAUUCCUCCUGAGCAGAGCAGAGUGUUGUAAAGAGAAAAUUGAGGCCAUCUGUUUCACAUCUGAAGCGUGGUCAAAACUGGGACAUGCAACAGGACGAUGAUCCGGUGCAGAGCAGCAGAUCAUCAGAAAACGGUAUAGGAAAAAAUGAACCAUUUACAUGUACCAAAGUGACCGAAAGUUAGGGUAGAUAAUGUUUUUCUACAUAAAAAUAAUCUAAAUUUGAUGGAUCUAAGUUGAGGCAAAUCUUCCAGACAGGUAUGUGUCAUGAUACCCUCACUCAUCAGAGAGCUGAAAAGCCACAGCUCUAACUUAAAAGUGUCAAACAAAACAUGUAAAAAAGAAAAAAAAAGAAAA